CCUAUCCGUCGCGGGCGCAGGAAAUUUGAGAGGAGCUGUCCUUAGUACGAGAGGACCGGGAUGGACGCACCGCUGGUGUACCAGUUGUUCUGCCAAGGGCAUCGCUGGGUAGCUAUGUGCGGACGGGAUAAGUGCUGAAAGCAUCUAAGCAUGAAGCCCCCCUCAAGAUGAGAUUUCCCAUUCCGCAAGGAAGUAAGAUCCCUGAAAGAUGAUCAGGUUGAUAGGUCUGAGGUGGAAGUGUGGCGACACAUGGAGCUGACAGAUACUAAUCGAUCGAGGGCUUAACCAUAUUU
This 293-nucleotide ribosomal RNA is filed under the name Bacillus subtilis. Its description in RNAcentral is "partial 23S ribosomal RNA". It matches the Rfam family "Bacterial large subunit ribosomal RNA", at positions 2637 to 2925 of the family's 2925-position model. Lineage: Bacteria; Bacillati; Bacillota; Bacilli; Caryophanales; Bacillaceae. The record is from RNAcentral.